GCGAGAGUAGUCUAGUGGUUAUGAUGUCUGCUUUACAUUCACAACAAUGUUUUAAGCGCAGAAGGUCGGGAGUUCGAUCCUCCCCUCUCGUA
Molecule: non-coding RNA, 92 nt
Organism: Lepidopterella palustris CBS 459.81
Lineage: Eukaryota; Fungi; Ascomycota; Dothideomycetes; Mytilinidiales; Argynnaceae
Source: the annotation of a GenBank genome assembly